GUUAGUUGAGGGCAGACGCUGCGGCGGCCGCCGCCAUCGCAGGAGCGGGCGGACCGGGAAGGGUCGCGCUGGAGGAGCCGCCGGCCGCGGCAGCCGCGGGGCCCUGCGGGGCUCCCGGGGACGCUCGGGCCGCGCCCCGCCGGUGCGGGAGCGGUGAUGGGCCCCGGGAGCGGCCCGCCCGCGCCCUUGGAGCCCGCCGCGCCCCGCCCCGCCGCCGGGCCCGCCCCUCUCCCGGCGUCCCCCGGCGGUGGCCAUGGCGGACGGCGGCGGGAGCGGCCGGGGGCCUCCGUGCCCCGGGGCGGCCGCGGCGCUGCGGCGCUGGGAGCAGCUGAGGCGGCGGGUGGCGGCGGCGGCGCCGUGGGCCCGCGGGCUCCUGGCUGUGGCCGCCGGGCUUGGCCUCUUCUACGUGGUGCUGCGGGUGCCGCUGCGGCUCCGGGACAGCCUGGCGGCCGUGACUGUGUUCUUAAGCACUUUGACUCCAAAAUUCUACUUUGCCCUUACAGUGACUUCAUCUUUUAUAUCUGGACUGAUAUUUGUGUUUGAGUGGUGGCAUUUCCGAAAGUACGGCACAUCUUUCAUCGAGCAGGUUUCUGUGAGUCAUCUGAGGCCCCUCAUCGGCGGGACAGAAAACAGCCCUCCAGCACCAGCAGCAUUCUCUGCUGGAGAGAGUGAGACGAGCAGGCAGAACAUGCCAGAGUGCAAAGUGUGGCGAAAUCCUCUCAAUCUUUUCAGAGGGGCAGAGUACAGCAGAUACAUGUGGGUGACUGGGAAGGAGCCUCUUACCUACUACGACAUGAAUUUGUCUGCUCAAGAUCAUCAGAACUUUUUCACGUGUGAUACAGACGCCCUUCGGCCUUCAGAUACAGUUAUGCAGAAAGCGUGGCGAGAGAGAAACCCUCAAGCUCGGAUUAAGGCAGCAUAUCAAGCUUUAGAGUUGAACAAUGAUUGUGCCACUGCAUAUGUCCUCCUGGCUGAGGAAGAAGCAACAACUAUUGUGGAUGCUGAGAAGUAUUUCAAGCAGGCUCUGAAAGCAGGAGAAAUGAUUUACAGGAAGUCUCAGAACUGCCAUUCCCAAAGUCCCCAGCAUGAAGCACAGCUGAGAAGAGACACCAAUGUAUUAGUAUAUGUGAAAAGGAGACUGGCUAUGUGUGCAAGAAAACUUGGAAGAAUACGAGAGGCAGUAAAAAUGAUGAGAGAUUUAAUGAAAGAGUUUCCACUUCUCAGCAUGCUCAAUAUUCAUGAAAACCUCCUGGAGGCACUGCUGGAGUUACAGGCUUAUGCAGAUGUCCAAGCAGUUUUAGCAAAGUAUGAUGAUAUCAGUCUUCCAAAGUCAGCAGCAAUAUGUUACACAGCAGCCCUGUUAAAAGCCAGGGCUGUUUCAGAAAGGUUCUCCCCAGAAACUGCCUCCAAAAGAGGGCUCAGUACAGCAGAAAUUAAUGCUGUGGAAGCAAUUCACAGAGCUGUGGAAUUUAACCCUCAUGUUCCAAAGUAUUUACUAGAAAUGAAAAGCUUGGUGCUACCUCCAGAGCAUAUUCUGAAGCGAGGGGACAGUGAGGCAGUAGCUUACGCUUUUUUUCACCUCCAGCAUUGGAAGAGGAUAGAAGGGGCUCUGAAUCUGCUACACUGCACAUGGGAAGGCACAUUUAGGAUGAUCCCAUACCCAUUAGAGAAAGGUCAUCUUUUCUAUCCCUAUCCCAGUUGCACAGAAACAGCAGACAGAGAACUGUUGCCAACAUUUCACGAAGUCUCCGUGUACCCACAGAAGGAGCUUCCCUUUUUCAUCCAUUUCACAGCAGGCCUGUGUUCCUUUUCGGCAAUGCUUGCCCUCCUCACGCACCAGUUCCCUGAGCUGAUGGUCAUUUUUGCUAAAGCUGUGCUGCGGGUGCUGUGGCCUGUGAGUGCUCCCAGCGUUCUGGCUUCCAGCUGAGUGGCCCGCACCAGGUGCUCUGGGAUGACUCUUUCACCCUUCAACUCCAUUAUGGAAAACAUCAAGGUCUUCCUGCUGUUCCAUCUCUGGCACCAGCUGACUCCAGUGUGACUGGAGGUGCUUUCCAUGAUGGCUCUCCUAAGCCUCACCCUGGGUGGUUAGCUGACCCCUAGAUGUGUGGGGCAAGGAAGAAAGCUGUGCUAUUCAGACUCCUACCUUUGACAGGCUUCCAUGUUGCACAGGCUGGUUUCUGAAACUGCCAAAAGUGGUUGUGAUAUCUGCAUGGGAGUCUUUUGGGAGACCUGAACUUUCAAGUGUUAGUCCAAAGUAUCGUCGUUGUUGAUAUCAAGACUUCAAGAGAAUAGAGAUGUGGAGCACUCUUCAAAGGAAUUGCUUCAUAUACGGACCAGCUACAAGGGUUUGUUUACUGCAGAGGUGAAAAGAUGGCUGUGGCAGCCAAGUGGUUUGAGGUAAUUGGUGUGACCCCCAUUAGAGAAAAUGUCUCCUUUCUCAUGUUCAGGUCCACUGCUUGGCAUUGAGGAGGCAGAGUCAUGUUAACCAAGGCUGCUUAAAGGUGGGAGUGAUAAAAAUAGCACAGGCUGGUGGAGAAAUGCUAAUUCUGAGCAUAGGAAAAGUUGGCCAUCAUCUUACAUUUUACAGAUAAACACAUAUACUUACCAUGAUAACUAGGGAAAUUUUACAUGUGUAAUCUUCACUGAUCUUGGUGAAGGAUUGAUGUAAGCCGUGACAUUGAUGGCUGCUUUCAAAGGCAGUAUAAAUUAUUCUAGUUUCUCAAUUUUGGAUGGAAGAAGCUUGCCGUAGCCUCUGUUCUCUGAAGUAACACCUAAAUCAAUCAAUGACAGGUCAGUUUGAGUUGACCUGAAAUCUGUCUUGAUGCAGAAGACUGGGAAUGAUUUUUUUUUUUGCCUUCUUUUUUCCCAAAUCCUUCUUUACCUUGUAAGCAAGGUGCUAUGAGGUAGAGAGUUGCAUACGCAUCUCAUGUAAGUGUAGCUUAUUUGUAACCCUGGCUGAGAGGAAACACACAUGUUUAGGUAGAAAUGCUGUUGUUACUCUCCACUGUAUGUAUGUAUUGACUGGGCUUUAAUCCAAGUGAAAUACUUGAAUUCAUUGAUGAGUCAAGAGGGGAGCCCUACACAAAGGUACUAUCACAUUUUUUGAGUUGCCUAACUACUAGCAGGUAAUUUUCUCAACUUUCUUUCCAGUUGAAUGUAUGUCAUUGGGGCUGUUUCUCACUGUGGAAUCAUUGUGGUGAUUAAUAGAUAUGUUGUGUUCAUGUAAUUUCACUUCUCGGUCCGCAGGGGCCCAUAAGGUAACCAACCUAAUGCUUUUUAAAGUUGAACAUUUUCCAGCAUUUGUGUGGGGUUAUAAAUGAAGCACUGCCUCCCAUGUAUCAUCCCAAGAGCUGCUUUCUUUCACUGUCCUCCCCUGACAUAACAGUAACAGAAAGGGGAUGGGCUUAUGCUGAAAGUAUAGCUGGCAACAGGCAGUGUAAUGAAAAUCUUCCUCUCUCUGCAAGUGCCAGUAAUUCUUGAGGAAGGAGGAGCUCUCUGUAUGAUUU
This is an RNA transcript of Strigops habroptila (Kakapo), 3506 nucleotides long. It is a transcript of the gene named suppression of tumorigenicity 7 like, with no coding region annotated. Lineage: Eukaryota; Metazoa; Chordata; Aves; Psittaciformes; Psittacidae. The transcript has 17 exons. The record is from RefSeq and is a predicted model, not a curated record.